RNAcentral lists this ribosomal RNA (253 nucleotides) under uncultured bacterium. Its description in RNAcentral is "partial 16S ribosomal RNA". It matches the Rfam family "Bacterial small subunit ribosomal RNA", at positions 524 to 776 of the family's 1533-position model. The record is from RNAcentral.
UACGGAGGGUGCAAGCGUUAUCCGGAUUCACUGGGUUUAAAGGGUGCGUAGGCGGGCAGGUAAGUCCGUGGUGAAAUCUCUGAGCUUAACUCAGAAACUGCCAUGGAUACUAUUUGUCUUGAAUAUUGUGGAGGUAAGCGGAAUAUGUCAUGUAGCGGUGAAAUGCUUAGAUAUGACAUAGAACACCGAUUGCGAAGGCAGCUGGCUAGACCUUUAUUGACGCUGAGGCACGAAAGCGUGGGGAGCAAACAGG